RNAcentral lists this ribosomal RNA (464 nucleotides) under uncultured bacterium. RNAcentral's name for it is "partial 16S ribosomal RNA". It matches the Rfam family "Bacterial small subunit ribosomal RNA", at positions 28 to 507 of the family's 1533-position model. The record is from RNAcentral.
GACGAACGCUGGCGGCGUGCUUAACACAUGCAAGUCGAACGGAAAGGCCCUGCUUGCAGGGUACUCGAGUGGCGAACGGGUGAGUAACACGUGGGUGAUCUGCCCUGCACUUCGGGAUAAGCCUGGGAAACUGGGUCUAAUACCGGAUAGGAGCCAUUCUUAGUGUGAUGGUUGGAAAGUUUUUUCGGUGUAGGAUGAGCUCGCGGCCUAUCAGCUUGUUGGUGGGGUAAUGGCCUACCAAGGCGGCGACGGGUAGCCGGCCUGAGAGGGUGGACGGCCACAUUGGGACUGAGAUGCGGCCCAGACUCCUACGGGAGGCAGCAGUGGGGAAUAUUGCACAAUGGGCGCAAGCCUGAUGCAGCGACGCCGCGUGGGGGAUGACGGCCUUCGGGUUGUAAACUCCGUUCGCUAGGGACGAAGCUUUUGUGACGGUACCUAGAUAAGAAGCACCGGCUAACUACGUG